UACAACUUGCUUCAUGAGAUUUUAUUCCUACUAUGCAAUUUGAUUUUCAAAUAUGAUAUAAUAGAUUAUCCCUGAAGUGAUUCAUCCCAACAAUGGGCAGGUUUUAUUUUCUUUGAAUAAACCUACGAUUAUUGAAUUCUUCUACUAAUAAUUAUCCUUGCACCUUAAACUUGUAUGCAAGUCGACCUACAAUAUUGGUUGCGAAAUUUCGAAAGCUUUUCCAACACUAUUUUCGCCCGAGUUGAUCUGUCAGUGGAAGUUUGUUUUGCUUUGUAUUUUCUAGCUUAAAUCGCGGCAGCUGAACGAGAAUCAGUUUUCAGUUUGCUGUUAGGAAGUGACGAUCUUUGCCUACCGAAUUCCAGUUGAUUCAGGGAAGGAACCUCCUGACGCGGUCAGUCCAACAAAGAUGGGACGAUUCAUUUCAGUGAUCGCGACGGAAUCCGGUGAUGAUAGAGUGAACCGGCUAAUAUAUUCGAUGUUAUGACGACUUUUUGUUAACGAAGUUUUUAUUGGAAUAAAUAGAAUGGGAUGACAACCG
Long non-coding RNA from Uranotaenia lowii, 538 nucleotides. RefSeq lists it as uncharacterized. The record is from RefSeq and is a predicted model, not a curated record. The transcript has 3 exons. Lineage: Eukaryota; Metazoa; Arthropoda; Insecta; Diptera; Culicidae.